GGGAUUCCAAGGGUGGGCGGGUGUUUCUGGUUCAGAGCCUUGGUUUGAUUGCAGCAGGCUUAAUCAUGCAAGCGGCACCCAGUACUCCGCGGCAGCUGUCCAGCGCACGGCAGUAGUGAUCUGUUUCGUGCUUGCCCCGUGUCACCGUACCUGACCUCCUUCCCCUCCCCUUGACCCCUCAGGUCAUCCUGAUGGGCCUGAUUGAGGGCUACCGCGUCAACGGCGGCCCUGCUGGCGAGGGCCUGGACCCCCUGUACCCCGGCGAGUCGUUCGACCCCCUGGGCCUGGCUGACGACCCCGACACCUUCGCUGAGCUGAAGGUGAAGGAGAUCAAGAACGGCCGCCUGGCCAUGUUCUCCAUGUUCGGCUUCUUCGUCCAGGCCAUCGUGACCGGCAAGGGCCCCGUCCAGAACCUGGACGACCACCUGGCCAACCCCACCGUCAACAACGCGUUCGCCUUCGCCACCAAGUUCACCCCCUCCGCGUAAAUGCCUCGAUAGGUGCCUCGAGAGCGAAAGAAUGGCUUACGUAAAGAUUGUGCAUAGUCCUGCAGGAGUGGAGUGG
Molecule: long non-coding RNA, 564 nt
Filed under: Chlamydomonas reinhardtii
Lineage: Eukaryota; Viridiplantae; Chlorophyta; Chlorophyceae; Chlamydomonadales; Chlamydomonadaceae
Description: long non-coding RNA (CREI_LNC000548)
Source: RNAcentral